GAUGAACGCUAGCGGGAGGCCUAACACAUGCAAGCCGAGCGGUAUUUGUUCUUCGGAACAGAGAGAGCGGCGCACGGGUGCGGAACACGUGUGCAACCUGCCUUUAUCUGGGGGAUAGCCUUUCGAAAGGAAGAUUAAUACCCCAUAAUAUAUUGAGUGGCAUCAUUUGAUAUUGAAAACUCCGGUGGAUAGAGAUGGGCACGCGCAAGAUUAGAUAGUUGGUGAGGUAACGGCUCACCAAGUCAAUGAUCUUUAGGGGGCCUGAGAGGGUGAUCCCCCACACUGGUACUGAGACACGGACCAGACUCCUACGGGAGGCAGCAGUGUGGAAUAUUGGACAAUGGGUUAGCGCCUGAUCCAGCCAUCCCGCGUGAAGGACGACGGCCCUAUGGGUUGUAAACUUCUUUUGUAUAGGGAUAAACCUACUCUCGUGAGAGUAGCUGAAGGUACUAUACGAAUAAGCACCGGCUAACUCCGUG
Molecule: ribosomal RNA, 479 nt
Filed under: uncultured bacterium
Lineage: Bacteria
Description: partial 16S ribosomal RNA
Rfam family: Bacterial small subunit ribosomal RNA
Source: RNAcentral